Molecule: RNA transcript, 4229 nt
Organism: Brachypodium distachyon (stiff brome)
Lineage: Eukaryota; Viridiplantae; Streptophyta; Magnoliopsida; Poales; Poaceae
Gene name: zinc finger CCCH domain-containing protein 7
Exons: 9
Source: RefSeq, a predicted model, not a curated record
AGCGCGUGACAUGUCCAUCCAAGGCCCAUACUUGCCUUAUUUGCCGCCUCUGUCUUCUUCCAUUGCCAUGGGUGUUCCUCUCCUCAUCGUACUCUCCCGUCGCCGCCGACGUGCUCCGACGGAGAGACGGAGCGCUGCUCAAUACCAUAAACCCUAACUUGGACCCAGCCACCACCUUUGCCAUGGAGAAUGCCCUCGCGCCGGCGGCGCCUGCUGACCCGCUCGCGGCCGGCUCCGCCGCCCCAACCACCCUUCUCCUCAGUCGCCGACGAUCACAUCUCGACAGCGCCUCCUACCGCACUCUCUCCCGACUCUUCUCCCACUUCCUCCACCUCAACCCUUCGCAGCAUGCCGCACCGGCGCACCUGGGAAUCGAGCCCGCCGCCGCAAACCCUAUCGGCGAUGCGUCCCCACAGGGGGCCUCGGCGGCGCCUAAAGAUGCUGAGUUUGAGCAGGGGAAGGAUAUAGAAGAGCAGGUGGCUGCGGCAAGCACUUCCGGCGUCGAGACCCCGGCACAUGUGGUAGUCGAGGCAGCCGCGGGGUACCCUAUUGCCGACCUGGACAUGGCCUCACAGGAAUCCGCCGGGCAUGAAGUCGCGGGGGUUGAGCUGGUAGAGGGUCUAGAAGAUAUGGUUGCUGAGGGAAUCGCCUGCCGCAAGACCCCUGCGCUAGUUGAGGAGUUGGGUGGUGAAGCUGAACUAAUGGGGACAGACGAGGUUUUGAGAUCCAUGGAGGCUUCCUUGGAGGGAGAGAUUGAGGAAUCAGCAGAAUUAGCAGUGGCCAAUGACGAUGAACAUCUUCUGCUUGAUACGAUGAUGAGCAAAUUGUCAGGGUUGAUUGGUGAUGCCAGUGGUGGCACAAUGUCAAUGCAGAACUGUGGGGUUUCCAGAGGUGAACCGCAGAAUCAUGGCAAGAUAGCUGAGGGGGUGAAAGAAUUCGUUUAUGGAAUUGAAGAAAGCACACCCGUAGGCAAUUCAGAUCAUCAGUCAGUUGAUGGUGGUGGGUUUGAGGAAGGAGAGAUUGAGGGUGACAUGCAGACUUUGGAUGCAGAUGAAUCUGGUGAUUCCGAGCUUGAAGCUGCAGAUGAUGAGAAGUUGGAAGAGGAUUUUGCUACCAGAGGGUCAGGGGAGAAUGAAUCAUCUGACCAUGGCAUACGAUGUUUGAAUUCGCUUUCAAUGCUUGGAAUUAAAGGAAGUGGUGAUCUUGUACUAAACAAGGAAGGUGAUAUCAAGGCUGAUGCACAAAUGCAUGUUCCCAGGGCACAAGCAGUCGGUUAUGAUGAAGUUGUGGAAUGGAACGAGACACCAUUGCAUGAUGCCGAGGCUCCCAGACCAGGAAAGAGAAAACGAAUUUUCACAGAGGAAAGAAAGGCUAAGAAGACGAAAAAUAAACGAGUUAAGAGGGCACUGCAACGGGAAGCUGAUGGGGUGAAAAGACUGAAGCUUGCACCAAUUAUAAAGCCAAAAGUAGUGCGGUAUUGCCACUUCUACUUGCACGGGAAGUGCCAGCAGGGCAAUGUUUGCAAGUUCUCCCAUGAUACUACACCUUUGACAAAAUCUAAGCCCUGCACGCAUUUUGCCCGUGGUUCUUGUUUGAAAGGAGAUGAUUGUCCUUAUGAUCAUGAGUUGUCGAAGUACCCUUGCCACAAUUUUCUGGGAAAUGGAAUGUGUUUGAGAGGUGAUAAAUGCAAAUUUUCUCAUGUGGCACCAACUGCAGAUGAUUCUUCCACAAAAGAUGCAAAGAAAUCUGAUGCGUCAUUGGUGUCCGAAAAACUAACCAGCAAAGAGCAAAAUAGUAGUCAGAAAAUAUCAACAGUGCAUGAUGGCGAACCUGUAGCUUCUGCGCCUACCAAACAUUACUCCAUCCUCAAAACCCUUGGCAGCAUCUCAAAAAAUGCUCAAAAAGCAUCAGCUCAUAUGCCGAAGGGUGUACAGUUUCUUGCUUUCAGUAAAGGCAGAUCAGAUUCUAGCAUUCUGCAUCAGGAUGCGCCGCCCCCCGGGAAUUUUGUUGGACCACAGGCUGCAGAAGGGGAUAAAAAUGCCCAGCCCAAUAGACACAGAUCAGCUGCACGAUCCAAUGAGAACUCAUCAAAAGAAGCUAGUUCACAUCCAAUUUCAGAGCAAAAGAAAACUAGUUUGUCUGCUGACUCUAUUGCAGUGCUUGGAUCAGUGAGCACUCAGCAUGAAGUUUCAGAGGCUUCUAGGAUUUUGCAGGAAUUUUUGUUUGGUGCUGGCAAUUAGAGGAAACAUACAUGGAUGUUGUUCAGUGAUGAAUUCAUGCCAUGCGAGUGUGCUAUUUGUUUUGAUAAUUACUGUCCGGUUUCCUUGUUGUAGCUGCGUGUUGCAACUGCUAUUUUUGCAUUGGAUAUAAGCUGACUGGUGUGAUGGAUGCCUUCAUGAAUCAGCCACUGUUGACGUAUGAUUCUUAACACGUCGGAUGUUGCUCCGAGUUAAUAGAGUAUGUCGAUCUUAAAAUGUUUUCAUGUCAUAGUUGAUAUGUUAGUGAUAAUCAGUGGGACCAAAUUGUUCCUUCAUUUUCUUGCUAAUUUCCAGUUCAUAUUGUUCGUACUUGAUACCCUUCAUAAUAUGAUGAAUAACACUCUCUUUGGUAAGAUUAUAUCCAAAGGGAGUAAGAUUAUCUUAUGUUCUGUACUUAUUGAUCAGUACCUCUCUACUAGUUAAUGCAAUUUAAAUUUACAUGACAUGGUAAUGCCACUGAUAUAGGUUUUAGUUCUUUCUCUGAAAGCACACAGAUCACUUUGUAUUGGGUCCUUUUUUUCAGGUGCCUGGCUUGACUGAUGUUUUCACAGUGAAGUUAAAAUGAUUUCUAUUUUUUCGGGUGUGUGGCCAACAGUCCUUUUGUAUUAACCGGGGUUUUCACCCAGUUCUAGAAAGUUGUUUUUAUUUAUUGUUACAAAAGUGUGAGAUGGUAAGUAAUAUGUGAGAUAAGUCAACUAGAACUAUUGUUACAAAUGCCUGACUGCUUGCUUUCCACGUCAACAUGAUCUUUGAGACUGGUUCAAUAGGGAGUAUUAGCUUUCUACUCCAUAUGUAAUGAAUUCUGGCAAGUGGCAACUUAAAUCUGAGACUGUUGUGCUACUACAACCUACAAUAGAAAGCUAACAUCAAGAUUCUAUCUGGUUCCUUCUCAGACAAAGUAUAUUAGUUGCAUUCAUCCCAGAUUUUUGUCUGGCGUAACAUUAAUCUGCAGAUAGUCACAGCCCUGCAGAAAUAUUGAACCAAAUCUUGUCAAUAAUUCCUCUGCCCGUUUAUUGAUUGAUAAAUUUAUCUGCAGCUUUGGGAUGGAAUCUAAUGUGGUUUUUUGUUUUGGUGUCAUGGAGGAGUUACUGUACAUCGGUUCACAAGGCAAAGCACUGGAGACUUGAUGUGUCAUUAUUCAGUUCCUAACAAGGGCUGCUUUUUUAGGCACCUCUUGUCAGAUUGAUUCAGGCCUCAAGAUUCUCCAGGCAAAGAGAGCUUUAAUUAGCUGCCCCAUGAUAAUAAUGGCAGCCAGAUUGCAGGCUUAGUCUCUUAUCAGUAAUGAUUCUGGGGACAUGCGAGGCAGAACCAUGGGUCCUUUGCUGGAAGACUGGUUUUAGCCCUGGUACAUUGGAUGGUUUGAACUUUGCAUGCCUGCAUGCGGUGCGGUGCCCGGCUGGAUCUCACAUCUCUUGGUUCAGAGCUGCUUGUGAACCUAAUCUUGGAGUCUGGAGACCUGUGGGACACAAGGGCAGGCAGAAUCAAAGGUGUCGCCAGGUCCCAGGUAUGAGCUGGACAGUGUAUAAUUGUUGUUGCUCCAUCUCAAGCUAAGCUUCCCCUGACCCUGACCUGCUGUCGAAAUCUCGCUGGUGUCGCAUCAAAUUCAGAAUUACGUUUCACAUGAUCACUGGGAGGGCUCACAUGUGGCGUUUUUAUCGCCCCUCUAGAUUUGCCAUACGAAGCAGACAUGGGUGACCGCGACUGUGUAUCUCACUACAGCACAGUCAGGGGUUUACUUUCUUCCUGUGAUGAUGACGAUCAUGUCCUCUUUCGUUGUUGAUGUUGUACGUGUUGCCGUGUCAUGGGAAUUGGGAACUGGAUAAGUUACUUCACGUGUCAACCUCUCGGUUUCAUUUCACCCUGAGGAACUGAAGGGUACCUAUUUUGUCGCUUUCUUUUUGAUGUUAUUGAUUCUGUACUGGAGAAAUGAGAUCUAUAUUAAGUCUGCCUUGACGGCAAUUUUCCUCACAA